Long non-coding RNA from Macaca mulatta (Rhesus monkey), 1815 nucleotides. Lineage: Eukaryota; Metazoa; Chordata; Mammalia; Primates; Cercopithecidae. The record is from Ensembl.
AUACAUUUUAUAUUUGCAUAUAAAUGACCUUCUCCUCAAUUACACAUUUUCAGAGAUGAUUAUAGUAAUUGGUCCUGAGCUUCAAGCAAGCAAACGGAAUGGCCAGUUUCAAAACAGAUUUUCUGGUUUCUAGUCCAGUGCUCUUUCUUCUUACCCAGAUAGACUCCCAUCUGAACAUAGCUUUGUCUGGAAAGUCUGGGCACUUGUAAAGCCAUGUGUCACUCAAUAAUAAAUCCACUUUGAAAAUUCACCUAUCCUUAUGAUGAGUUUAAUUAAGUUUUGCAUUUCUAGACUUUUAUUUCAAUUUUAUUUUUCAUUUAAAAAUAAUUACUUAGAGAUGUUGUAUUUAAGCUGUUUAUGUCAAUUAAUACAAAUGUUGUUCUGUAUAUUUUAGGCAGAAACAAUUGAGCCAUUGGCAAGGGGCAUGAAAUUGAGUUCUACAUUUUCUGACCUAGUAGCAGUGACAUAUUUUUAUUAAUAGUCUUUCUGGCAAGAAUGAGACCUAUAGUCAAUGGCCAAGGGACAUGAGGAAGCAAAAAAGCAGGUCGUCCAUAAAUUUGGUCUUAUGCCACAAGCGUAUUAAAACCAAAAGGGAAUUUGUCCACAAAGACUGAUUCUCUUGUUCUACAGUUGAGAAGACUAUAGUUGGAAAACAUAAAGAGGGUUGCUACAAGUCACAGUUUAGUGGAUGUCGGAACCACUACUGGAACCCAGCUCUUGGUUAAGGAGUCCAUAUCUGUUUGUCCUCAUCCCUCAGUGCUGCUCUGAAAUCGGUGAAGUUUUGUGCUUAUAGUCAAACUAUGGUUUUGAUGCCAUUGAAGAAUAAACAUUUGUUGAGAAUGAAUAAGGAUGUUUCACAAGAAGCUUCAAUAAUUCAUCUAUUUCAGAACUUCCUGUCUUUGACUCCUGGAGACAGACACCACUCAGUAGGUUUCAUGGAGAGGAAUCUGGCAUCUCCCAGCCAUACUUAUGUACAGAGUUUGUGCUGCAGCCUGGAAAAUAGCUGCAACUAUGUCAAGCAAGGAUCAAAAUCCUGAUCUGAAGGAGCUCAAGCUGAAAACACAAAGCGUUAAAAGGAUAGGCAUUUCUUACAGAAAUUACUCCCAUAGGCACCUUCUAGCUUCAAUUUAGACUGAAAAGUAAAAAGGCAUUGAGAGUUUCUUAUAUUUCUCUCUUUUCCAAGUUCAAAAUCCCUUGGAGCAGGAAAAGGGCAAUUAUGACUAUUACUCCAAUUCUAUGCUCCUGUUAGCAAUCAGAUUUGCAUUAGUGGAGAAAAAAAUAAUACUAUCCUAAAUAAAACAUUCUGACUAUGAUUGCUGAGGAGCCAAUCCGAAAAUGGUUAAAUUUAAAUUAUAAGGAGUCUUUUUUGAGGGGGGAGGGGAGUUGAUAGAAAACCUGUUAGAAAGGGAAUCUACACACUACUGAAACCAAACAAACACAAGGGGGCAGGAAGAGCUCAAGCUCUGACUUCAAAACCUGCUGGCUGAAAUGGGAGCUAAACUAGUUUAGUGUGCCCUCCGGAUAUUUAUCAAUUUUCGUGGCAUGCAAAGAAAUGUGAUGCUGACAAGUAGGUUUAGUUUGUGCUUGGUCUAAUUACUGCGAAGAGAACAGGAACGUCUUUAAUGACAGCUACCCUAACAGAGUCGGAUUUGGGAAAGCCUGGGGCCACAUUCCCUAGAAUUUAUUCUUUGGUGCAAGACUAGCGAUUCUGAUCAGACUGCAUUUCUCACGCAUUCCAAAUCCUCUUUUUUCCUUUUACUCUGUGAACCUUGGUUGCAAAGGAGGGGCUUGUUAAAAACUCACCAAUCGGAGGAC